This 498-nucleotide ribosomal RNA is filed under the name uncultured bacterium. RNAcentral's name for it is "partial 16S ribosomal RNA". It matches the Rfam family "Bacterial small subunit ribosomal RNA", at positions 30 to 523 of the family's 1533-position model. The record is from RNAcentral.
AUUGAACGCUGGCGGCAUGCCUUACACAUGCAAGUCGAACGGUAACAGGUCUUCGGAUGCUGACGAGUGGCGAACGGGUGAGUAAUACAUCGGAACGUGCCUAGUAGUGGGGGAUAACUACUCGAAAGAGUGGCUAAUACCGCAUGAGAUCUACGGAUGAAAGCAGGGGAUCGCAAGACCUUGUGCUACUAGAGCGGCCGGUGGCAGAUUAGGUAGUUGGUGGGAUAAAAGCUUACCAAGCCGACGAUCUGUAGCUGGUCUGAGAGGACGAUCAGCCACACUGGGACUGAGGCACGGCCCAGACUCCUACGGGAGGCAGCAGUGGGGAAUUUUGGACAAUGGGCGCAAGCCUGAUCCAGCAAUGCCGCGUGCAGGAUGAAGGCCUUCGGGUUGUAAACUGCUUUUGUACGGAACGAAAAGCCCUGGGUUAAUACCCUGGGGUCAUGACGGUACCGUAAGAAUAAGCACCGGCUAACUACGUGCCAGCCGCCGCUGUAA